GCCAGGUGUGGUGGCGUGCACCUGUAAUCCCAGCUACUCAGGAGGCUGAUGCAGGAGAAUUGCUUGAACCCAGGAGGCAGAGGCUGUAGUGAGCAGAGAUUGCACCACUGCACUCCAGCCUGGGCAACAGAGCGAGACUCUGCCUCAA
RNAcentral lists this non-coding RNA (148 nucleotides) under Nomascus leucogenys (northern white-cheeked gibbon). Lineage: Eukaryota; Metazoa; Chordata; Mammalia; Primates; Hylobatidae. The record is from Rfam by way of RNAcentral.